UCUCCGUUGGUGAACCAGCGGAGGGAUCAUUACUGGAAUCGCAAGAUCCCACAACCCCUGUGAACCUACCGAAACGUUGCCUCGGCGGGCGCCCGGCCCCGCGCCGGGCGCUGAGCCCGCCGGCCGCCCCCUACUCCUGUCUCUGCAGCGUGGCAUCCCAGAGUCCCAGAAAACAAGUAAAAACUUUCAACAACGGAUCUCUUGGCUCUA
This 210-nucleotide unclassified non-coding RNA is filed under the name plant metagenome. Its description in RNAcentral is "partial contains small subunit ribosomal RNA, internal transcribed spacer 1, and 5.8S ribosomal RNA". The record is from RNAcentral.